GACGAACGCUGGCGGCGUGCUUAACACAUGCAAGUCGAACGGAAAGGCCCUGCUUUUGUGGGGUGCUCGAGUGGCGAACGGGUGAGUAACACGUGAGUAACCUGCCCUUGACUUUGGGAUAACUUCAGGAAACUGGGGCUAAUACCGGAUAGGAGCUCCUGCUGCAUGGUGGGGGUUGGAAAGUUUCGGCGGUUGGGGAUGGACUCGCGGCUUAUCAGCUUGUUGGUGGGGUAGUGGCUUACCAAGGCUUUGACGGGUAGCCGGCCUGAGAGGGUGACCGGCCACAUGGGGGCUGAGAUACGGCGCAGACUCCUACGGGAGGCAGCAGUGGGGAAUAUUGCACAAUGGGCGGAAGCCUGAUGCAGCAACGCCGCGUGCGGGAUGACGGCCUUCGGGUUGUAAACCGCUUUCGCCUGUGACGAAGCGUGAGUGACGGUAAUGGGUAAAGAAGCACCGGCUAACUACGUG
This 468-nucleotide ribosomal RNA is filed under the name uncultured bacterium. Its description in RNAcentral is "partial 16S ribosomal RNA". It matches the Rfam family "Bacterial small subunit ribosomal RNA", at positions 28 to 507 of the family's 1533-position model. The record is from RNAcentral.